AGUGAACGCUGGCGGUAGGCCUAACACAUGCAAGUCGAACGGCAGCACAGUAAGAGCUUGCUCUUACGGGUGGCGAGUGGCGGACGGGUGAGGAAUACAUCGGACUCUACUUUUUCGUGGGGGAUAACGUAGGGAAACUUACGCUCAUACCGCAUACCACCUACGGGUGAAAGCAGUGGAUCUUCGGACCUUGCGCGAUUGAAUGAGCCGAUGUCGGAUUAGCUAGUUGGCGGGGUAAAGGCCCACCAAGGCGACGAUCCGUAGCUGGUCUGAGAGGAUGAUCGGCCACACUGGAACGUGGACAGGGUCCAUACCCCUACGGGAGGCAGCAGUGGGGAAUAUUAGACAAUAGGCGGAAGCCUGAUCCAGCCAGACCGCGUGGGUGACGAAGGCGUUCGGGGUGUAAUGCCCGUUUGUUGGGAAAGAAAAGCAGCAGGUUAAGACCCCGCUGUUCUGACGGUACCCAAAGAAUAAGCACCGGCUAACUUCGUG
Molecule: ribosomal RNA, 492 nt
Filed under: uncultured bacterium
Lineage: Bacteria
Description: partial 16S ribosomal RNA
Rfam family: Bacterial small subunit ribosomal RNA
Source: RNAcentral